Molecule: transfer RNA, 73 nt
Filed under: Ovis aries (sheep)
Lineage: Eukaryota; Metazoa; Chordata; Mammalia; Artiodactyla; Bovidae
Rfam family: tRNA
About the family: Transfer RNA (tRNA) molecules are approximately 80 nucleotides in length.
Source: Rfam by way of RNAcentral
UCUCUGGUGGUCUAGUGGCUAAGACCAUGCGCUCCCAAUGCAGGGGGCCUGGGUUCGAUCCCUGGUCAGGGAA